RNAcentral lists this ribosomal RNA (468 nucleotides) under uncultured bacterium. RNAcentral describes it as "partial 16S ribosomal RNA". It matches the Rfam family "Bacterial small subunit ribosomal RNA", at positions 28 to 507 of the family's 1533-position model. The record is from RNAcentral.
GACGAACGCUGGCGGCGUGCUUAACACAUGCAAGUCGAACGGAAAGGCCCUGCUUUUGUGGGGUGCUCGAGUGGCGAACGGGUGAGUAACACGUGAGUAACCUGCCCUUGACUUUGGGAUAACUUCAGGAAACUGGGGCUAAUACCGGAUAGGAGCUCCUGCUGCAUGGUGGGGGUUGGAAAGUUUCGGCGGUUGGGGAUGGACUCGCGGCUUAUCAGCUUGUUGGUGGGGUAGUGGCUUACCAAGGCUUUGACGGGUAGCCGGCCUGGAAGGGUGACCGGCCACGUUGGGGCUGUGAUACGGCCCAGACUCCUACGGGAGGCAGCAGUGGGGAAUAUUGCACAAUGGGCGGAAGCCUGAUGCAGCAACGCCGCGUGCGGGAUGACGGCCUUCGGGUUGUAAACCGCUUUCGCCUGUGACGAAGCGUGAGUGACGGUAAUGGGUAAAGAAGCACCGGCUAACUACGUG